GGCUCAGGCGAACGCUGGCGGCGUGCCUAAUGCAUGCAAGUCGCACGGAUGGCCUUCGGGUCAUUAGUGGCGGACGGCUGAGGAACACGUGGGAACCUGCCCAUCCGUGGGGGACAACAUGGCGAAAGUCGUGCUAAUCCCGCAUACGCUCACCGAGAAGGUGAGGAAAGCAGCAAUGCGCGGACGGAGGGGCCCGCGGCCCAUCAGGUAGUUGGCGGGGUAACGGCCCACCAAGCCUCUGACGGGUAGCUGGUCUGUGAGGACAGACAGCCAGACUGGGACUGAGAAACGGCCCAGACUCCUACGGGAGGCAGCAGCAAGGAAUUUUCGGCAAUGGGCGCAAGCCUGACCGAGCAACGCCGCGUGCAGGACGACGGCCUUCGGGUUGUAGCGUGCUUUUUCGGGGGAUGAAAUGGACAGU
RNAcentral lists this ribosomal RNA (421 nucleotides) under uncultured bacterium. RNAcentral's name for it is "bacterial SSU rRNA". It matches the Rfam family "Bacterial small subunit ribosomal RNA", at positions 21 to 458 of the family's 1533-position model. The record is from RNAcentral.